This is a long non-coding RNA of Solea solea (common sole), 3392 nucleotides long. RefSeq lists it as uncharacterized. NCBI's taxonomy places the organism in Eukaryota, Metazoa, Chordata, Actinopteri, Pleuronectiformes, Soleidae. The transcript is spliced from 2 exons. The record is from RefSeq and is a predicted model, not a curated record.
AAUCAGAGCCAGGAGGAGGAGGAGGAGGAGGAGGAGGAUGAUGAAGGGAGCUUGGUGGAGUGACUGCCACCUGCCACUUCAUUCAACUGCAUUUUAAUCUGGGGUGUCUGGAGGAAACUCGUUCCGCAAAUGACUUCACCGGAGGAGUGGCAGAGAUUUGAGAAGCUCUCCUGUGGGGAUGCAGAUGUGCGGUUGCUUUUAUAUCUCCUCCUUAUCCACGUCUCCACCCAACCCUAAUCAAAACCCCCACACAUUUUAAGGCCCGAGACCAUCCGCUCACUCAUAUUGAAUUGCCAUUGCUCCAAUGUUGAGUUUAUGGACCAUCUUUGGGAUUAUUAAUGACACGGCACAGAGUUAUACAUAUGAAUAUGGAGAUCAGCCACAUUGUGCAUGCGCUUUUCUAUAUAAGAGGGUAGAUCGAAAUCUCUUACGUCUCCUUUGACUGAUGGCACCACCCCUCCUGCUCCACACACGUUUCUUAAUAACGUGCCGGCUCUGCUCCCAUUUUAUUUGUAUUUAAAAAAACCUAAAAAAAAGCACUCGUGAAUGAUAAUUCCCCCCAUGCACAUAGACUCAUCCAGCUAAAUCUGUUCAUUCUGUGGCAAAGAUAAAGGGGUCAUCUUCAUGCUACAGGGGAUCGUAUUGGAAGCAUAACAGGUUUAGUUCUGGAGGUCCGUCUUCAAUGUACACAAUUUGCGUUUUUAUUCAGGAAUCUUGAAGGGCACAUUCAUGCUCGUUGGUGCCAUUUCAGGAGCGUGCGGCGCUAAGUGUGUGAUGCCCAGUAGAGAUAUGUAGGAUGAAUUAUUACAGUGGAGGCUUUUAUUUAUUAACUGGCACUCGGAAGUUGGGAGCAGGCCAACUGUUGCUGUCCCAUUCAGGGGCCUAUCAUCAGUAUUGUCGAAGGGCAGAUAAAUACUGUAUGGCUGCAUUCAUGCUUACAGAUAAAAUAUGGUCUCGCCGUCUGAAUCUGAAUUAGCGGAGAAUUAUAGUCCAGCCGCGCAAGGGCUAACAAAGACACCAGGAAGGGGAUGAACACCAUUUUUGCACGUCAAGGUCAGAUUUACCUUGUCACUCAGCUUUUGUAUAUUGUCUUAUUCUAUACUCUUUACAACUGUAGAGCUGGGUCAUCCACCAGCCUAACAUCUCUUUUGUAAAUAAAUAAAUACAGGUAAAUAGAUAUAGAAGACCGUCCAGUACCAUAGAAGUGGAUGGCUAGGGAAAAAUGGCCAGUAAAACUUCGGCAGCCACAGUGUUGUUAGUUGUGUAAUUAAAACCGGGUUAUAUUGCCUACUUUCUCACUCCAUUCAUUCAUUCAACAACAGCAGAAAAUAAUUAUACAUAUAUAUAUAUAUAUAUAAUAAGAGAAAUAAUAUAAGAGAAAGCUAUGUUUCUGAGGAAGAAGAGCAUGCUGAGGAAAUGUCUGGAUUGAGGCCCUAUGUGUAUGAAAUGAUACGCUAUACUGGGGCUGCUACUAAGGAUGGAGAGAUGAUGACUUCUAACAUCCAAUAGGAAUAUUGGAAAAGCUCCUUAGCUAUUGUUAGAUUGUACAUAUGAGCGAGUCGGUGACAUUUCGAGCAACAUAUACACAAGAUUAGAUGAUUAAAGCACUAAAAAUACCUGGGGAUAUUAUUAGCAUUGGCAGAGAUUGGCAAUUUUAGCCUGCACAUGUUAGCAUUUUGUUCAAUACUUGUUUAUAUAUGAGUCAAUUAAUGGAAAAAAAAUAAAAAUCCAAAUGAAUAUAAAUAUCCUAAUAAUAAAUUUAAAUAUUUCCCAAAAGAAUUGACCGUAUGUUGAGGUAAUUUAAAAAAAGAAUUGUGGUUGUGAAAAUUGUUGAGGGUUUUCAACAUAAUACAGAGAGGGGAUGUGCAAAUAGAACCAUUUCCUGUGUUGAUGUAAUUCCCUGCGGGACUCAAGGUCAGAGUUCACCUUUGUUCUGCUUUGACCAUGCAGAUGGGCACUUUGGAGAUCUACGAGUCAUUAUCAUGAGAGGCGCGGCUGUUUUUUCCGUUUUGCAUAAUGUCUGCUGUGUGUGUUCUCUUUGCUAUUCUGUCAUUUAUUUUACCACAACAACCACGACACAACGGUGAGUGACACUGACUGUCCUGUGUCGCUCUGUGUCGCACACCGACUGCCUCACAUCUCAGCGGCUCAGCAUCCGAUUUGUCUGGAACUCUUCGAACUCUCUCCCAGUGGAGAUUAUUAUUUAAGUCAAGCAAAGCAAAGCAAAGCGAAGCCAGGGACGUGUGGUUGUUGUUGUUGUUGUUGUUGUAAAUCCUCCUGUAUCAUCCUGACCUAUGGUGGUAAUGAGUGUCAUCUGCACAUGCUUUUGGAGACCUCUGCAAUAUCAGCUGAUAGUCAUGUUUGUUCAGGGUUGUUAUCCUGGGUUUAGAAACAGCCUGGGGUAAACAAGAGGAAACAGAGCGCCUACACAUAAGGCCUGCCUCUCUUUAUUCUCUCUCCCUCCCUCUCUCUCUCUCUCUCUCUCCCUCUCUCCCUCUCUCUCUCUCUCUGUUUGUUUUACAGUAAAGUGAUGCUGCAUCAUCUGCCAAACAAUUUCUGCGAGAACCGCGCCACUGCAGCACGAACUGCAGCUCGGAGUUUUUGGAGAUAAAUGUGUGCCGUCGCAGCGCUGUGAGCAAAGCGCCUCGCUCAGUGUCUCUGCUGUGUUUUUAUUUGCAAGCGGUGAUUUCAUCUCACAGUCUUCACACCAGUCUCAGAAAUCCAAUAAAGAUGACUGACUACAUUUUAUCACCGCAGGAUUUAUCUUUUGUGGAAGGCUUACAAGCUCAGCCUGGUAAUGUGGAAAAAAAAAAAAGCAGAAAUAUGAAGAAGUGCAAACCUGGUAUGAUGUGCGUUUUGCUCGGAAUUGUGCGGAGCGGCUGGAAACUGUAAUUCAGCAGCGCUUUUACUGCGGAAUAAAACAACCAGACAGCUGAUUUGUUUUACCGCCGACACUGUUUCGUAUGAUUUGUCAUGUAUAGGGCAUCAUUCAUGCACUGCCAGCUUGAGGGGUUGUUACCCAAUGCAAACCAACAGCCUGACAUUGGUUCCUUGGCCUAGUGACUCAGGAAAAAAAGCCUGUUUGACCUUUGACAUUUGUCAUUAUCCACUCGCAACAUCAUAGGGCAGACAAUCAGGGGAUCAAGGCCGGCCAGGAGAAAUCCUGUCCCCAGACAUAAAAAAGGAUGCGCACCCCCUCGUUGCCAGGAAUUCAAUUUCACUCAGCCAACAUCUGCCAGAGAUAAGUGAAACAUAAACAACAUCGCACCCGCACACCCCAGGGCUUUGUCCUGGAGAGAUUCUGUGGUACUGACACAUCUCUUAAUUACAACCAUGACAUUUGUGCCCAGCCUUCUUCUUCUACUUCUGUUCCCCUCUUUUUUUUUUUUUUU